RNAcentral lists this ribosomal RNA (292 nucleotides) under uncultured bacterium. RNAcentral describes it as "partial 16S ribosomal RNA". It matches the Rfam family "Archaeal small subunit ribosomal RNA", at positions 455 to 747 of the family's 1478-position model. The record is from RNAcentral.
GUGCAGCCGCCGCGGUAAUACCGGCAGCCCGAGUGAUGGCCGAUAUUAUUGGGCCUAAAGCGUCCGUAGCUGGCUGAACAAGUCCGUCGGGAAAUCCACGUGCUUAACACGUGGGCGACCGGCGGAAACUGUUCGGCUUGGGGCCGGAGGACCCGAGGGGUACGUCCGGGGUAGGAGUGAAAUCCCAUAAUCCUGGACGGACCGCCGGUGGCGAAAGCGCCUCGAGAGGACGGACCCGACGGUGAGGAACGAAAGCCAGGGUCUCGAACCGGAUUAGAAACCCCUGUAGUCC